GAUGAACGCUGUCGGCGUGCCUAAUACAUGCAAGUCGAGCGAACGGACGAGAAGUUUGCUCCUCUGAUGUUAUCGGCGGGCGGGUGAGUCACUUGUGGUUAACCUACCUAUAAGACUGGGAUAAUUUUGGCAAAUCGGAGCUUCUAACGGAUGAUUUUUUGCACUUCAUUGUUCAAACGUUAAAGACGGUCUUUGUGUGACUAAUAGCUGGAUACGCCCUUCAUUAGUUAGUUGUCUAGGUAACGGCUUACCAAGGCAAGGACGGAUAGCCGACCUCAGAGGGUGAUCGCCCACACGGGAACUGAGGCACAGUCCAGACUCCGACGGUGAGCAGCGGUAGAGAAUCUUCCGCAAUGGAGGAGAGCCUAACGGAGCAACGCCGCGUAAGUGAUGAAGAUCUUCUGAUCGGUGAGCGCUGUUAUUAGGAAAGUACAUAUGUGUAAGUAACUGUGCACAUCUUGACGGUACCGAGUCAGAAAGCCACGGCUAACUACGUG
This 497-nucleotide ribosomal RNA is filed under the name uncultured bacterium. Its description in RNAcentral is "partial 16S ribosomal RNA". It matches the Rfam family "Bacterial small subunit ribosomal RNA", at positions 28 to 507 of the family's 1533-position model. The record is from RNAcentral.